Long non-coding RNA from Numida meleagris (helmeted guineafowl), 1655 nucleotides. The record is from Ensembl. Lineage: Eukaryota; Metazoa; Chordata; Aves; Galliformes; Numididae.
AGGAGGCAUGCCAGCCCCCUGGUCUGGCACAGCAUGUCCAACCUGCCCUGAGGGCUGGGUCAGGGCCACAGCAAUGGCUAGAGCUCUACGGACUGCAGAGUAAAUGUUUCAAAAUACCAACAUUUAAUUUGUCAUCAUUAAUUUCAAAACUGUAUUCUAAAAAGGUGAAAGUAGGAGAGUUAUAACUCCUGAAGUCAGUAGGCCACCAAACUAAGUUUGCUUUAAAAUCUUCUGUCAGGGCUUUCUAAAUCAGCCUGUGAAACAACUGAUGAGGUGGUAUUGCACCGGAUCACAUUCCCUUCAUAUGGCAGUAAAUUUUAGGAACUCUUGGCUGAUCAAAAACUUGAGGCUGCAAUAAUGAGGGCUUCGUUAGAAAGUCACAGGUAGAUUUUUAGCACCGCCUACGCUGUUCCAGUCUGACGUUCACUGGGAAAUUAUAGGCUGUUGUGUUUACAUCUGUAUAUGCUUUGCAAUUUUUGAUAGCUUUCUGAGCUAUCUAAAUUUAUUUAUUCAUUUAUUCAGUUCAGGAGAGCAAAUAGCUCACAUUGGCUUGUCCUGUCAAAUUCAAGCUGACGCAGUCACUCCAUAAGGAAUGUCUGUCUUUCCAGUGUAUGUAUGACUAAAUGUUUUAGGCACCACGACCAAAAAAUGUAAAAUAAUUCUCUUAAAAGACAACACAGUUGGAAGGAGUUCCAGCUCUUUGCUGGCAAAGAUUACUGGAGAUUAUGUACAGACAUGCACAGCGAGCAGUGCUGCUGUUCUAACAAAAGGAUAAGGAAGAGCCUUUAAAUGGUCUGAAAUACUUGGAUAACCUAAAAAGCUGUAAAAAAAAAAAAAAAAAAAAAAAAAAAACAUGUUCGGUGAAACAAUGGAUUGAAAAUAUCAAAGUGAAACAUGUCACUGGUCCUAUGCAGAGGCCAAGACUUGGCACGAGAAACGGAAAGCAGCUUUCAGGGUGGCAUUCAGCUUUUCUCAUGCAGAUUUUUUUUUUCCCUCAUCUGGCAUGGAAACUGCAGCCCUUCUCUACUAUCCACGUACAUCCUGCACUUCCUUGCCAGGGAUCAGGCAGACCUCCCUGUGCCUUUUCACGUCUCGCCUGCUCAGAAGCUUGCACGAGCUUUCUGUGCUGCUCUGAAUUUCUGCUACUGUAACUUCAUUAGGCAUAAGUGUAUAUAUAUACACACACACACCAAUAGAGGGAGAUACAUAGCUCUGAGUGCAUGUAUUGAAACAGCCUAAUACGUGUGUAUGCUCAAGGCUGAGAUCCACAAAAGCAACUAAAUAUGGCCGAUUUCAAUAACGGCAUAGUGCCUAACUGCUGUGCCAGGAUCUCAACCAUCUAUAAAUGUCUCUGAUCUUGUACAGCACCCAAAAAGUUCUGAAAAUCACAAAUGAGAAACAAUGGGUUUUCAUGGUGGCUUCAGAGAAUUGUUAUGAAGACAGGUGAUGAAUUCUUCUGCUAUCAACAGCACACAUGCUUUGUGCUCUGCAGCAUGUCAUCAAAUUCUUCAGUUAAUUACUCACUAAUUAUAACACUGUUGAAUGGCUACACUGUGGCAACCAUGUAAUUAUGGAGCAUAAAGUACUGAGCAGUUGCAAGGCUGAGCAUAUUGACUGAUUACAAUAAAUCCCCUGCUUAUUGUUGAUAUUUUUCA